RNAcentral lists this ribosomal RNA (476 nucleotides) under uncultured bacterium. Its description in RNAcentral is "partial 16S ribosomal RNA". It matches the Rfam family "Bacterial small subunit ribosomal RNA", at positions 28 to 523 of the family's 1533-position model. The record is from RNAcentral.
AAUGAACGUUGGCGGCGUGGAUUAGGCAUGCAAGUCGUACGGGCCGCAAGGCCAGUGGCGCAAGGGUGAGUAAUGCGACGGUAACCAACCCCAUGGGUGGGUAUAGCCGCGGGAAACUGCGGGUAAUCCCCAGCGAAGCAAAGCGAUCGGCAUCGGUCGUUUGCCAAAGCCCCGGCGCCGUGGGACGGGCCGUCGUGGUAUUAGGUAGUUGGGGGGGUAACGGCCCACCAAGCCGACGAUGCCUACCGGGCGUGCGAGCGUGGCCCGGCACACUGGGACUGAGACACUGCCCAGACUCCUACGGGAGGCUGCAGUCGAGAGUCUUCGGCAAUGGGCGCAAGCCUGACCGAGCGACGCCGCGUGGAGGACGAAGGCCUUCGGGUUGUAAACUCCUGUCGAGGGGAAAGAAGGUCCGCAAGGACUUGACUGAUCCCUGGAGGAAGCACGGGCUAAGUUCGUGCCAGCAGCCGCCGUAA